UGGGUGAUGAUUCUUUGCUGUUACCC
This 26-nucleotide non-coding RNA is filed under the name Homo sapiens (human). Lineage: Eukaryota; Metazoa; Chordata; Mammalia; Primates; Hominidae. The record is from RNAcentral.